This 303-nucleotide ribosomal RNA is filed under the name uncultured bacterium. RNAcentral's name for it is "partial 16S ribosomal RNA". It matches the Rfam family "Bacterial small subunit ribosomal RNA", at positions 507 to 807 of the family's 1533-position model. The record is from RNAcentral.
AGCAGUCGCCGCGGGAAUACGAAGGGUGCAAGCGUUAAUCGGAAUUACUGGGCGUAAAGCGUGCGUAGGCGGUUUGUUAAGUCUGUUGUGAAAUCCCCGGGCUCAACCUGGGAAUGGCAAUGGAUACUGGCAAGCUAGAGUGUGUCAGAGGAUGGUGGAAUUCCCGGUGUAGCGGUGAAGUGCGUAGAGAUCGGGAGGAACAUCAGUGGCGAAGGCGGCCAUCUGGGACAACGCUGACGCUGAGGCACGAAAGCGUGGGGAGCAAACAGGAUUAGAUACCCCGGUAGUCCCUGUCUCUUAUAC